GCGACGACGGGUAGCCGGCCUGAGAGGGUGACCGGCCACACUGGGACUGAGACACGGCCCAGACUCCUACGGGAGGCAGCAGUGGGGAAUAUUGCACAAUGGGCGAAAGCUGAUGCAGCAACGCCGCGUGAGGGAUGACGGCCUUCGGGUUGUAAACCUCUUUUAGUAGGGAAGAAGCGAAAGUGACGGUACCUGCAGAAAAAGCACCGGCUAACUACGUGCCAGCAGCCGCGGUAAUACGUAGGGUGCAAGCGUUGUCCGGAAUUAUUGGGCGUAAAGAGCUCGUAGGCGGUUUGUCGCGUCUGCUGUGAAAUCUGGGGGCUCAACCCCCAGCCUGCAGAGAAAAACGGGCAGACUAGAGUGCGGUAGGGGAGAUUGGAAUUCCUGGUGUAGCGGUGGAAUGCGCAGAUAUCAGGAGGAACACCGAUGGCGAAGGCAGAUCUCUGGGCCGUAACUGACGCUGAGGAGCGAAAGCAUGGGGAGCGAACAGGAUUAGAUACCCUGGUAGUCCAUGCCGUAAACGUUGGGAACUAGAUGUGGGGACCAUUCCACGGUCUCCGUGUCGCAGCUAACGCAUUAAGUUCCCCGCCUGGGGAGUACGGCCGCAAGGCUAAAACUCAAAGGAAUUGACGGGGGCCCGCACAAGCGGCGGAGCAUGCGGAUUAAUUCGAUGCAACGCGAAGAACCUUACCAAGACUUGACAUAUACGAGAACGGUCCAGAAAUGGUCAACUCUUUGGACACUCGUAAACAGGUGGU
Molecule: ribosomal RNA, 758 nt
Filed under: Microterricola gilva
Lineage: Bacteria; Bacillati; Actinomycetota; Actinomycetes; Micrococcales; Microbacteriaceae
Description: bacterial SSU rRNA
Rfam family: Bacterial small subunit ribosomal RNA
Source: RNAcentral